Long non-coding RNA from Piliocolobus tephrosceles (Ugandan red Colobus), 1002 nucleotides. RefSeq lists it as uncharacterized. The record is from RefSeq and is a predicted model, not a curated record. Lineage: Eukaryota; Metazoa; Chordata; Mammalia; Primates; Cercopithecidae. The transcript is spliced from 3 exons.
AGGAGUUCGAGGCUGCAAUGAGCUAUGAUUGCACCACUGCACUCUAGCCUGGGCAAUAGAGUGAGACCUUCUCCAGAAAAAUUUUUAAUAAAUAAAAUAGAUUAACGGGUCCCUUCUGUUGCAAUGAAGGAACUGGAGGUCUUUUCUACCUGCCCCUAACUCUUUCCCAAGGCGGCUUGCUCCAUUUUCACGUGUUCUCUCGAGUACAUUGAGCACCUCCUUGUGCCAGGAACUGUUUGUGGCACCGCAGAGCCAGAGACAGGAGCUCACGGCAGAGCUGGGGAGAGAGUUAUAACAGCCAGCAGAGGGCACUGUGAGCGUGGACAUGCAGCCUGCAUGCCCCAAAGCCCAAGAGGAAAGUGGAGGUCUGGGAGCAGAGCAUUGGCAGCCUGGGCAGCCGGCCCCCGCUGUCGAGGCUGGUCGUGGUGAAAAAGGCAAAGGCCGACCUGGACUGCAGCAAUGGGCAGCCUCAGGCAGCCCCCGCCCCAGGAGCCCCGCAGACCAGGAAGGAGGCCGACCCUGCACCCCUGACGCCUGGCGCAUCCUCCCUGAGCCAGCUGGGUGCGUACCUGGACAGUGACGACAGCAACGGCAGCAACUGAGCCCUCCUAGGACCCCUGCCCUGGGUCAGGGUCACACGUCCAGCUUCAGCCACGUUGAGGCCGGCGUUGCUGGUGGUCGGGGCAGGAGGCCUUGGCGUAACCGGAGACCCUACAGACAAGUGCCAGUGUGCUCCAAGCACAUAGGGCCAACAGGGACCUCAGCCCCAGGAGGUCGCUUCUCUCUGCCCUCACCAGCCUCUCAACACCUCGGGGACACCUGCUGCUCCUGCCUCCACCUGUCACCAUGCUUAGGGCUGCAACAUCCCUAGAGCGUCUCAGCUUCCAACACUACUUCAGGGUGGCGGUGUCUGGGGCACUGGGCGAGCCCACUGGCCUCUAGAUGGCCUCAUCUCUUCCUUCCACAAACUGUCUAGAACCAAUAAAAGGAAAUCUGCCAACC